ACCUCAAAGAGUCUUCCGGUCGUCUCGCCACCCUUGUACUUGCGGCAUUUUGGUAGUUUAGCCAUGCCGUUCACCACCCACCACCUGAGAUUUCUGAAUGUCUUUACAUAGUCACAGCCGAGUCUUUCAUAAUGGCUGAGGCGUGAUUAAUAAUCAAGUGGUAACACAACAUGUACCCAUCAUAUAUGAUCUUGAGAGGAUAAAAAGCAAGGUUGUACAUUGCAUUUCUCAUUGGAAUGGAGGGUCCAAAUAUGAGGUGAAGUAUAUUUUUGGUGGAAGAUAUGUGGUGGACUUGAAUGAGAGGACUUGUGAUUGUGGGAGAUGGGGAUUGAGUGGAAUCCCAUGUUUUCAUGCUGCUUCUGCAAUAAUUGAGAAUGGAGAGCAACUUGAGACUUAUGUAGACAACACUAGUGGAAGCAAAAAGAAUAAAGGAAAGGCUAAGAUUCUAGUGGUAGCAAGAUAAAAAAUUUUUUAGUUCAAUAUUUUGUUUACAAAUGGAGCCGGUAUACUUUUGUUUUUCAAUAUUGCUAGAAAAGUGUAAUUAUUGAUUCAUUAAGUGUUAUUUUUUAGCAAACAAUAUACUAUUUGUAAACGCUCAUUCUUAUUUCAAUCCAUAGGAGAUUGAGACAU
This is a long non-coding RNA of Quercus robur (English oak), 630 nucleotides long. RefSeq lists it as uncharacterized. Lineage: Eukaryota; Viridiplantae; Streptophyta; Magnoliopsida; Fagales; Fagaceae. The transcript has 2 exons. The record is from RefSeq and is a predicted model, not a curated record.